GUUGCUUUGACAGAUUAAAUGUAUUAAAUUUAGAAUUUAAUUAUGUAGAAAACUCUACAAGCAAUA
RNAcentral lists this transfer RNA (66 nucleotides) under Inara alboguttata. Its description in RNAcentral is "tRNA-Leu". Lineage: Eukaryota; Metazoa; Arthropoda; Insecta; Hemiptera; Reduviidae. The record is from RNAcentral.